RNAcentral lists this ribosomal RNA (253 nucleotides) under uncultured bacterium. Its description in RNAcentral is "partial 16S ribosomal RNA". It matches the Rfam family "Bacterial small subunit ribosomal RNA", at positions 524 to 776 of the family's 1533-position model. The record is from RNAcentral.
UACGGAGGGGGCUAGCGUUGCUCGGAAUUACUGGGCGUAAAGCGCACGUAGGCGGCUUUCUAAGUCAGGGGUGAAAUCCUGGAGCUCAACUCCAGAACUGCCUUUGAUACUGGGAAGCUCGAGUCCGGAAGAGGUGAGUGGAACUGCGAGUGUAGAGGUGAAAUUCGUAGAUAUUCGCAAGAACACCAGUGGCGAAGGCGGCUCACUGGUUCGGUACUGACGCUGAGGUGCGAAAGCGUGGGGAGCAAACAGG